AUACUGGAUAUGACCUUCUGGCGCAUGCCAUGUUGGUGGAAAGCUUUAUUGCGGUUUUGGAUGGACUCGCGGCCUAUCAGCUUGUUGGUGGGGUAAUGGCCUACCAAGGCGACGACGGGUAGCCGGCCUGAGAGGGUGGACGGCCACACUGGGACUGAGACACGGCCCAGACUCCUACGGGAGGCAGCAGUGGGGAAUAUUGCACAAUGGGCGCAAGCCUGAUGCAGCGACGCCGCGUGGGGGAUGAAGGCCUUCGGGUUGUAAACCUCUUUCAGUAGGGAAGAAGCGAAAGUGACGGUACCUGCAGAAGAAGCGCCGGCUAACUACGUGCCAGCAGCCGCGGUAAUACGUAGGGCGCAAGCGUUAUCCGGAAUUAUUGGGCGUAAAGAGCUCGUAGGCGGUUUGUCGCGUCUGCCGUGAAAGUCCGGGGCUUAACUCCGGAUCUGCGGUGGGUACGGGCAGACUAGAGUGAUGUAGGGGAGACUGGAAUUCCUGGUGUAGCGGUGAAAUGCGCAGAUAUCAGGAGGAACACCGAUGGCGAAGGCAGGUCUCUGGGCAUUAACUGACGCUGAGGAGCGAAAGCAUGGGGAGCGAACAGGAUUAGAUACCCUGGUAGUCCAUGCCGUAAACGUUGGGCACUAGGUGUGGGGGACAUUCCACGUUUUCCGCGCCGUAGCUA
Molecule: ribosomal RNA, 679 nt
Filed under: Arthrobacter sp. CAL571
Lineage: Bacteria; Bacillati; Actinomycetota; Actinomycetes; Micrococcales; Micrococcaceae
Description: bacterial SSU rRNA
Rfam family: Bacterial small subunit ribosomal RNA
Source: RNAcentral